AACGGCCGUACCAUGCUGAAUAUACCGUUUCUCGUUAGAUCACCGAAGUCAAGCAUCAUUGGGCGCGGUCAGUACUUGGGUGGGUGACCACCUGGGAACACCGCGUGCCGUU
This 112-nucleotide ribosomal RNA is filed under the name Caerostris darwini. Lineage: Eukaryota; Metazoa; Arthropoda; Arachnida; Araneae; Araneidae. The record is from RNAcentral.